GAAGCUCCCCAGGUUAUUUUCGCAAGAUCCAAACCCUUACCCACACAGUCUGGAGCCCUUGCUACAGUUAUAGGACAGAGAAAAUCAAAGUCGGUGAAGUCAGGGACAAUUUAAGAUCCUGCUCACACUGACAGAUGAACAGAGACUCCAAGGGAAGAAGAAUCUGCUGUGUACUCCUGGAGCUUGACGGAGGCUAAGCCUCCAUGGUGCUGUUGAGGGGUCCAUAGUAUUUUUUUUGCUGCCUCUGAGUCCCCAAGGCCUUUAAGCAGAAGUGACAGUAGACGCUUGCCAUCAGCCAAUCCAGACUUUUACCAGGACAACAGGGAGACAGACCCUCUGGGUUUGGAUGAGAUUUGGCAGUGGAGACUCUCACCUGACAUGUUGUGUCCCUGUCAGAGCACCUUUCAGAGUGUGCCUUUCCCUGCUCUCCCACCCCCCGCCCCUGCCCUGCUAGGUCCCUCUGUCCCCCUCCUGCUGCUCACAGAUGGUAUAAAAGAGGCUCUUUGGCUAUUUGCAUCUGGCUUUCGCUUCUUUUCCAGAUUGAAAUAUUAAGUUUAUUUUAUUUUGUACAAGCUUCAGAUCCCAACAUCAUCCACCAGACUUGAUCUUCACUUUCCCAAGAGUGUGGGGGGUGGGGAGCCAACAGCACCGGUUCCCCAGAGUGGGGAGGCAAGUAGGCGGCUGCCAUGGUACAGGCGCCAUUUGGAAUUACUGACUUCUAAGAUUAAUAAAGUAAUUUCAACUUUUCUUUC
This 752-nucleotide long non-coding RNA is filed under the name Rattus norvegicus (Norway rat). RNAcentral's name for it is "long non-coding RNA NONRATT024518". The record is from RNAcentral. Lineage: Eukaryota; Metazoa; Chordata; Mammalia; Rodentia; Muridae.